Molecule: ribosomal RNA, 1062 nt
Filed under: uncultured bacterium
Lineage: Bacteria
Description: bacterial SSU rRNA
Rfam family: Bacterial small subunit ribosomal RNA
Source: RNAcentral
ACUCCUACGGGAGGCAGCAGUAAGGAAUAUUGGUCAAUGGAGGGAACUCUGAACCAGCCAUGCCGCGUGCAGGAUGACUGCCCUAUGGGUUGUAAACUGCUUUUGUCGGGGAAUAAACCUACGUUUGUAACCGUAGCUGAAUGUACCCGAAGAAUAAGGAUCGGCUAACUCCGUGCCAGCAGCCGCGGUAAUACGGAGGAUCCAAGCGUUAUCCGGAUUUAUUGGGUUUAAAGGGUGCGUAGGCGGUUCUUUAAGUCAGAGGUGAAAGACGGCAGCUUAACUGUCGCAGUGCCUUUGAUACUGAAGAGCUUGAAUAGGGUUGAGGAAUGCGGAAUGAGACAAGUAGCGGUGAAAUGCAUAGAUAUGUCUCAGAACCCCGAUUGCGAAGGCAGCAUUCCCAAGCCUUUAUUGACGCUGAUGCACGAAAGCGUGGGGAUCGAACAGGAUUAGAUACCCUGGUAGUCCACGCCCUAAACGAUGAUAACUCGAUGUUGGCGAUAGACAGUCAGCGUCCCAGCGAAAGCGUUAAGUUAUCCACCUGGGGAGUACGCCCGCAAGGGUGAAACUCAAAGGAAUUGACGGGGGCCCGCACAAGCGGAGGAGCAUGUGGUUUAAUUCGAUGAUACGCGAGGAACCUUACCCGGGCUUGAAAGUUAGUGAAUGAUCCAGAGACGGAUCAGUCCUUCGGGACACGAAACUAGGUGCUGCAUGGCUGUCGUCAGCUCGUGCCGUGAGGUGUCGGGUUAAGUCCCGCAACGAGCGCAACCCCUAUGUUUAGUUGCCAGCAUGUAAUGGUGGGGACUCUAAACAGACUGCCUGCGCAAGCAGAGAGGAAGGUGGGGACGACGUCAAGUCAUCAUGGCCCUUACGUCCGGGGCUACACACGUGCUACAAUGGUCGGUACAGCGGGCAGCUACACAGUAAUGUGAUGCCAAUCUCUGAAAGCCGAUCACAGUUCGGAUUGAGGUCUGCAACUCGACCUCAUGAAGUUGGAUUCGCUAGUAAUCGCGUAUCAGCAAUGACGCGGUGAAUACGUUCCCGGGCCUUGUACACACCGCCCGU